RNAcentral lists this long non-coding RNA (458 nucleotides) under Elaeis guineensis (African oil palm). RNAcentral's name for it is "long non-coding RNA (EGUI_LNC031106)". Lineage: Eukaryota; Viridiplantae; Streptophyta; Magnoliopsida; Arecales; Arecaceae. The record is from RNAcentral.
GAGAAUUUAGCAGAGUUUUGAGAUAAGAAAUGAGCUUAGAGAAUAACGUAUCUGGGUCCCCCUUUUAUAGGCGGGGGAGGUAACGGAUUGAUGGCGACGUUUGUAACCGCCAGGUAGUGGGCCGCCCUUAGUCAGGAGGAAUCUACUGCGAAGAGUAGUGGAGCGGAGCCGUGGCCAUCACUGGGGCGUGCCACGUGGAAUCUGCCGUGGGAAGUGGGAUGCAGAUGCUGCGGCAUCUUGCCAGAGGAUGGAAGAAUCGUGCGAUAUCUGCUGCAGGAGGUGGAGCAGGAUCGCGGCCAUUUAUCAUGGCCUGUCAGGCAGUAAUGGAGCCGCGUGGGUGCGGGAUCCACCGCAGAGAGUGGAGCAGUGUUGCGACCGUUACUGCGGCCUGUCAGGGAGUGAUGGAGCUGCGCGGAGUUCGCCGCAGGAAGUGGAGCAGGAUCGUGGCCGUGAUUGUG